Non-coding RNA from Brienomyrus brachyistius, 507 nucleotides. Lineage: Eukaryota; Metazoa; Chordata; Actinopteri; Osteoglossiformes; Mormyridae. The record is from the annotation of a RefSeq genome assembly.
AAGGAAUAUAAAAGCAUAAAACGUUACUCCUUACUGAAUGCAGAGGGGAGUUUUAACCUCACUAUUUCUAACGUGGAGCCGUCAGAUUCUGCAGUGUAUUAUUGUGCUACUAUGUUUCUUCAUGAGGUCACCUUUGGGAAUGGAACCUUUGUCAUAACCACAGGUAAAGACUCCAACAGCAGGACAGUGGUACAGCAGCCUGUGUCUGACACAUUGCAGCCAGGAGACUCUGUGAGCCUGCAGUGUACGAUAGAGACUGGGAGCUGUGCAGGAGAACACAGUGUUUACUGGUUCAGACAUGGAUCAGGAGAAUCCCUUCCUGGAGUCAUUUACAGCCACGGAAACAGCAGUGAUGAGUGUGAGAAGAGCCCUGAGGCUGGAUCUCCUACACGGAGCUGCGUCUACAGCCUCCCCAAGGGGAACCUCAGCCUCUCCGAUGCUGGGACUUACUACUGCGCCGUGGCCAUGUGUGGGGAGAUGCUGUUUGGGAACGGCACACAGCUGGAU